RNAcentral lists this ribosomal RNA (379 nucleotides) under uncultured cyanobacterium. Its description in RNAcentral is "bacterial SSU rRNA". It matches the Rfam family "Bacterial small subunit ribosomal RNA", at positions 376 to 770 of the family's 1533-position model. The record is from RNAcentral. Lineage: Bacteria; Bacillati; Cyanobacteriota.
CGAAAGCCUGACGGAGCAACGCCGCGUGUGGGAGGAAGGUUUUAGGACUGUAAACCACUUUUCUCAGGGAAGAAGCACUGACGGUACCUGAGGAAUAAGCAUCGGCUAAUUCCGUGCCAGCAGCCGCGGUAAUACGGGAGAUGCAAGCGUUAUCCGGAAUUAUUGGGCGUAAAGCGUCCGCAGGCGGCUUGGUAAGUCUGUCGUUAAAGCGUGGAGCUUAACUCCAUUAGAGCGAUGGAAACUGCCAGGCUUGAGUGUGGUAGGGGCAGAGGGAAUUCCCGGUGUAGCGGUGAAAUGCGUAGAUAUCGGGAAGAACACCAGUGGCGAAGGCGCUCUGCUGGGCCAUAACUGACGCUCAUGGACGAAAGCCAGGGGAGCG